GACGAACGCUGGCGGCGUGCUUAACACAUGCAAGUCGAACGGAAAGGCCCUGCUUUUGUGGGGUGCUCGAGUGGCGAACGGGUGAGUAACACGUGAGUAACCUGCCCUUUACUUUGGGAUAACUUCAGGAAACUGGGGCUAAUACCGGGUAGGAGCUCCUGCUGCAUGGUGGGGGUUGGAAAGUUUCGGCGGUUGGGGAUGGACUCGCGGCUUAUCAGCUUGUUGGUGGGGUAGUGGCUUACCAAGGCUUUGACGGGUAGCCGGCCUGGGAGGGUGACCGGCCACAUUGGGACUGAGAUACGGCCCAGACUCCUACGGGAGGCAGCAGUGGGGAAUAUUGCACAAUGGGCGGAAGCCUGAUGCAGCAACGCCGCGUGCGGGAUGACGGCCUUCGGGUUGUAAACCGCUUUCGCCUGUGACGAAGCGUGAGUGACGGUAAUGGGUAAAGAAGCACCGGCUAACUACGUG
RNAcentral lists this ribosomal RNA (468 nucleotides) under uncultured bacterium. RNAcentral describes it as "partial 16S ribosomal RNA". It matches the Rfam family "Bacterial small subunit ribosomal RNA", at positions 28 to 507 of the family's 1533-position model. The record is from RNAcentral.